UGGGGAAUAUUGGACAAUGGGCGAAAGCCUGAUCCAGCCAUGCCGCGUGUGUGAAGAAGGCCUUAUGGUUGUAAAGCACUUUAAGCGAGGAGGAGGGUACUGGUAUUAAUACUACCAGCUACUGGACGUUACUCGCAGAAUAAGCACCGGCUAACUCUGUGCCAGCAGCCGCGGUAAUACAGAGGGUGCAAGCGUUAAUCGGAAUUACUGGGCGUAAAGCGCGCGUAGGUGGUUCGUUAAGUUGAAUGUGAAAGCCCCGGGCUCAACCUGGGAACUGCAUCCAGAACUGGCGAGCUAGAGUAGGGCAGAGGGUGGUGGAAUUUCCUGUGUAGCGGUGAAAUGCGUAGAUAUAGGAAGGAACACCAGUGGCGAAGGCGACCACCUGGGCUCAUACUGACACUGAGGUGCGAAAGCGUGGGGAGCAAACAGG
RNAcentral lists this ribosomal RNA (430 nucleotides) under Pseudomonadota bacterium. RNAcentral describes it as "Proteobacteria bacterium partial 16S ribosomal RNA". It matches the Rfam family "Bacterial small subunit ribosomal RNA", at positions 355 to 776 of the family's 1533-position model. Lineage: Bacteria; Pseudomonadati; Pseudomonadota. The record is from RNAcentral.